UACGUAGGCAGCAAGCGUUGUUCGGAAUUACUGGGCGUAAAGAGUGUGUAGGCGGUGCUCCAAGUCUGGUGUGAAAUCUCCCGGCUCAACUGGGAGGGUGCAUUAGAAACUGGAAUGCUAGAGGAUGGGAGAGGUAAGCGGAAUUCCUGGUGUAGCGGUGAAAUGCGUUGAUAUCGGAAGGAACGCCGGUGGCGAAAGCGGCGUGCUGGAUCUCUUCUGACGCUGAGGCGCGAAAGCUAGGGGAGCAAACGGG
Molecule: ribosomal RNA, 253 nt
Filed under: uncultured prokaryote
Description: partial 16S ribosomal RNA
Rfam family: Bacterial small subunit ribosomal RNA
Source: RNAcentral